UGCCACCUGAUGGCUGAUGGAGCAGAGG
This 28-nucleotide non-coding RNA is filed under the name Homo sapiens (human). The record is from RNAcentral. Lineage: Eukaryota; Metazoa; Chordata; Mammalia; Primates; Hominidae.